UGCACUUGGCCUGUAUCGCCUAUACACAGA
This 30-nucleotide non-coding RNA is filed under the name Mus musculus (house mouse). Lineage: Eukaryota; Metazoa; Chordata; Mammalia; Rodentia; Muridae. The record is from RNAcentral.